Sycon ciliatum is the source of this 544-nucleotide long non-coding RNA. RefSeq lists it as uncharacterized. The record is from RefSeq and is a predicted model, not a curated record. NCBI's taxonomy places the organism in Eukaryota, Metazoa, Porifera, Calcarea, Leucosolenida, Sycettidae. The transcript has 3 exons.
CUGCAUCUGCCGCUAGGAUUUAUCGGGUGUUAGCGGCCGUCGUGAGUUCCCUUCGGGAACGGACACGAUAAUUUACUUUACUUACUCAUUUCUGGAAAACCACCACGGUGGUGAGUGUGAUUGCUCUGGUAGACCACUACUGAACAGUUGCUUUGUGAGUGAAAAACGUGUAUCUUUCACUUCUGUGACUUCUGCUUUUAAUUGAAUCUGCUCAUAUUCUGUCUAACACCAGCUCUGCCAUCCAGGGAGCGGGUGCCAUCUAUCAAUGAUAAUGAUGGUGAUGGCACAUACCACAAGCGUGCUGUAGACCCUGCUGAUCUACCAGGGGAUGAUGAAGACAGUUGGAUUGCUUCAUCUGGUGAGGGGCAUGCCAUAUCAGCUGAGAAGGAGAACAUACGGCAUGUGGAAAAAUCCAGGGGAGGAGCGGAAGAAGAGGAUGAUGAAGACAGUUGGAUUCCUUCAUCUGGUGAGGGGCAUGCCAUAUCAGCUGAGCAGAAGAACUUAAUAUGGCAUGCGGGAGAAUCCAGAGGAGCAGCAGAAGAAG